This 489-nucleotide ribosomal RNA is filed under the name uncultured bacterium. RNAcentral's name for it is "partial 16S ribosomal RNA". It matches the Rfam family "Bacterial small subunit ribosomal RNA", at positions 28 to 507 of the family's 1533-position model. The record is from RNAcentral.
GAUGAACGCUAGCUACAGGCUUAACACAUGCAAGUCGAGGGGCAGCAUGGUCUUAGCUUGCUAAGGCCGAUGGCGACCGGCGCACGGGUGAGUAACACGUAUCCAACCUGCCGUCUACUCUUGGACAGCCUUCUGAAAGGAAGAUUAAUACAAGAUGGCAUCAUGAGUCCGCAUGUUCACAUGAUUAAAGGUAUUCCGGUAGACGAUGGGGAUGCGUUCCAUUAGAUAGUAGGCGGGGUAACGGCCCACCUAGUCUUCGAUGGAUAGGGGUUCUGAGAGGAAGGUCCCCCACAUUGGAACUGAGACACGGUCCAAACUCCUACGGGAGGCAGCAGUGAGGAAUAUUGGUCAAUGGGCGCGGCCUGAACCAGCCAAGUAGCGUGAAGGAUGACUGCCCUAUGGGUUGUAAACUUCUUUUAUAAAGGAAUAAAGUCGGGUAUGUAUACCCGUUUGCAUGUACUUUAUGAAUAAGGAUCGGCUAACUCCGUG